This 433-nucleotide ribosomal RNA is filed under the name uncultured bacterium. RNAcentral's name for it is "partial 16S ribosomal RNA". It matches the Rfam family "Bacterial small subunit ribosomal RNA", at positions 29 to 507 of the family's 1533-position model. The record is from RNAcentral.
AACGAACGCUGGCGGCAUGCCUAACACAUGCAAGUCGAACGAGACCUUCGGGUCUAGUGGCGCACGGGUGCGUAACGCGUGGGAACCUGCCCUUAGGUUCGGAAUAACUCCCCGAAAGGGGUGCUAAUACCGGAUAAUGUCUUCGGACCAAAGAUUUAUCGCCUUUGGAUGGGCCCGCGUUGGAUUAGCUAGUUGGUAGGGUAAAAGCCUACCAAGGCGACGAUCCAUAGCUGGUCUGAGAGGAUGAUCAGCCACACUGGGACUGAGACACGGCCCAGACUCCUACGGGAGGCAGCAGUGGGGAAUAUUGGACAAUGGGCGAAAGCCUGAUCCAGCGAUGCCGCGUGAGUGAUGAAGGCCUUAGGGUUGUAAAGCUCUUUUACCCGGGAUGAUAAUGACAGUACCGGGAGAAUAAGCGCCGGCUAACUCCGUG